GAUGAACGCUAGCGGGAGGCCUAACACAUGCAAGCCGAGCGGUAUUUGUUCUUCGGAACAGAGAGAGCGGCGCACGGGUGCGGAACACGUGUGCAACCUGCCUUUAUCUGGGGGAUAGCCUUUCGAAAGGAAGAUUAAUACCCCAUAAUAUAUUGAGUGGCAUCAUUUGAUAUUGAAAACUCCGGUGGAUAGAGAUGGGCACGCGCAAGAUUAGAUAGUUGGUGAGGUAACGGCUCACCAAGUCAAUGAUCUUUAGGGGGCCUGAGAGGGUGAUCCCCCACACUGGUACUGAGCCACGGACCAGACUCCUACGGGAGGCAGCAGUGAGGAAUAUUGGACAAUGGGUUAGCGCCUGAUCCAGCCAUCCCGCGUGAAGGACGACGGCCCUAUGGGUUGUAAACUUCUUUUGUAUAGGGAUAAACCUACUCUCGUGAGAGUAGCUGAAGGUACUAUACGAAUAAGCACCGGCUAACUCCGUG
RNAcentral lists this ribosomal RNA (479 nucleotides) under uncultured bacterium. Its description in RNAcentral is "partial 16S ribosomal RNA". It matches the Rfam family "Bacterial small subunit ribosomal RNA", at positions 28 to 507 of the family's 1533-position model. The record is from RNAcentral.